RNAcentral lists this ribosomal RNA (209 nucleotides) under Acinetobacter baumannii OIFC083. Its description in RNAcentral is "partial 16S ribosomal RNA". It matches the Rfam family "Bacterial small subunit ribosomal RNA", at positions 75 to 287 of the family's 1533-position model. The record is from RNAcentral. Lineage: Bacteria; Pseudomonadati; Pseudomonadota; Gammaproteobacteria; Moraxellales; Moraxellaceae.
GUAGCUUGCUACCGGACCUAGCGGCGGACGGGUGAGUAAUGCUUAGGAAUCUGCCUAUUAGUGGGGGACAACAUCUCGAAAGGGAUGCUAAUACCGCAUACGUCCUACGGGAGAAAGCAGGGGAUCUUCGGACCUUGCGCUAAUAGAUGAGCCUAAGUCGGAUUAGCUAGUUGGUGGGGUAAAGGCCUACCAAGGCGACGAUCUGUAGC